RNAcentral lists this ribosomal RNA (468 nucleotides) under uncultured bacterium. RNAcentral's name for it is "partial 16S ribosomal RNA". It matches the Rfam family "Bacterial small subunit ribosomal RNA", at positions 28 to 507 of the family's 1533-position model. The record is from RNAcentral.
GACGAACGCUGGCGGCGUGCUUAACACAUGCAAGUCGAACGGAAAGGCCCUGCUUUUGUGGGGUGCUCGCGUGGCGAACGGGUGUGUAACACGUGAGUAACCUGCCCUUUACUGUGGGAUAACUCCAGGAGACUCGGGCUCAUACCGGAUAGGAGCCCCUGCUCCACGGUGUGGGUUGGAAAGUUUCGGCGGUUGGGGCUGGUCUCGCGGGUUAUCAGCUUGUUGGUGGGGUAUUGUCUUACAAAGGCUUUGCCGGGUAGCCGGCCUGGGAGGGUGGCCGGGGACAUUGGGCCUGAGAGACGGCCCAGACGCGUACGGGAGGCAGUAGUGGGGAAUAUGGCAGAAUGGGGGGGAGCCUGAUGAGGCGACGCCGGGUGCGGGAUGACGGCUUGCGGGUGGAAAACCGCUUCCGCAUUAGACGAUGCCGGAGUGACGGUAAUGGGUAAAGAAGCACCGGCUAACUACGUG